CCCCUAGAUGUUCUGGGCCGCACGCGCGCUACACUGAACAGUUCAACAAGUCUUAACCUUGGCCGAUAGGUCUGGGUAAUCUUUGAACGCUGUUCGUGAUUGGGAUAGAUUCUUGUAAUUUUUGAUCUUAAACGAGGAAUUCCUAGUAAACGCAAGUCAUCAGCUUGCAUUGAUUACGUCCCUGCCCUUUGUACACACCGCCCGUCGCACCUACCGAUUGAAUGGUCCGGUGAAAUCUCCGGACUGGCGUGAGUCGGAGCAAUCUGACAAACACCGGAAAGUUGAUUAAACCUUACCAUUUAGAGGAAGGUGAAGUCGUAACA
RNAcentral lists this ribosomal RNA (323 nucleotides) under uncultured eukaryote. Its description in RNAcentral is "partial 18S ribosomal RNA". It matches the Rfam family "Eukaryotic small subunit ribosomal RNA", at positions 1470 to 1796 of the family's 1831-position model. The record is from RNAcentral.